RNAcentral lists this long non-coding RNA (21348 nucleotides) under Brachypodium distachyon (stiff brome). Its description in RNAcentral is "long non-coding RNA (BDIS_LNC000212)". The stretch from base 18989 to 19119 matches the Rfam family "MIR1120/MIR1122 microRNA precursor family". The record is from RNAcentral. Lineage: Eukaryota; Viridiplantae; Streptophyta; Magnoliopsida; Poales; Poaceae.
AACUACCUCAUGUCCAUGUCCACGCAGAUCUUCUCCGGCCACCUCGGCAACCUCGAGCUCGCCGCCGCCUCGCUCGGCAACACCGGCAUCCAGAUGUUCGCCUACGGCCUCAUGGUACGUAUACGUUCGUUCGAAUCCCUCGGAUAACUACUGCAUAGCCGGCCCGUUUAGUUUCUUUGGCGCAAUAGUCUCCGGCCGCUCCGUUGGUAGAGCGAAAAAAUGUUUUAACUAACCUGUCAAUGCGCCACUAGUCUGUUGUUUGUGGGAUGAAUCGUCAAGGACAGGGCCGGCACGUGAAACGCGGUUUCUUUUCUUUUCUUUUCUUUUCUGAAAUCUACUUUGAACGCCUAUCUCGGAUCACUGGCAUACCCAAGUUAUGUCAGUUGGACCUAACCUGGACCGUUCGGAUCAGAUGCUCCAACGGUUAGAUGUUCUGUAGUCCCCGGGCUGAGGCCCACAACUUGUACACGUGUCCUCGUCAAAAAAAAAUUAGUGCUGCAAAACAAAAAGUGUCAGGUGGCCGUGGUCUUGUUACGAUUAAAUCAACGGUCGAAAAUGACCAGCAGACAACAGAAGAGGAUGCUGUUAUAGCUUUGGCAUGGUGGAGGGCCGGCUUCUGGUAACGUCCUCCGGGACUCGUCCCCCUUGUAUUGGGCUCUAUUCCCUCCUAUUCGUAAAACGUGUCACCCAUUUGAUAAUUUAGUAUAAAAUUUAUACUUCUAUCCAUAUUACCUGUCGAAAUAUUACAUGCCAUGCAUCUAUAUGUAUUUUAAACAUAAAUACAUCAAUAUUUGGACAAAUUUGAGACAAGUGAUCUGAGGAGGUAGAAUGUUUCCUUGUUUUUCGGGUGGCAGCCCAUUUUUCUCUUCUGCUCCGCCCGGCCUGUUAGCCGCCCGCCCGUCCCAUCGGGCGGCCCCGCUCGGCUACCCGAGCCCCCACCAAAUUAGGGUUUCCCCCAGGUGGCGACGGCGGCUGGGGGCUGCUAGGCCAAGGCCCAGCGGCGGCGGCGUGCAUGGGGUGGCGCAGGGCACCUCCGAGGCGGCCCGUGCUCGCGCCAUAGGGGCAUCAGCGGCGGCAGAGCUCGUGCUCAUUGGCGGCGAUGACAGCACAUGCGCUUGACGGUGCCAUUGGCGAUGCUCGCGCCCGCAGGCAGUAGUAGUGAUGGUGCUCAGAUGGGAAAAAAAUUGGGGCGGCACGGCUCGCUGCCAUUCAUGGCUUCGGUGGCUAGCUGUGCGACACUCAACCGUGUGGUGCGGUCUCCCCCAUAGGUUGGUCAACAAGACCCUUUGUGCGGCGGGAUCGAUUGGCAAUUGUGUCGGCGAUUUGGUCUCCAAGCAAACCGCGAGGAAAAUCCAACCAUGGGGCAGAAGAUGAUAAAAAAAAAUAAGUAAUCGCAAAAACGGAAAUUAGAAAUGACAACGACCGCAGUUUUUGCAAUAACAUUGAGAUUCAAUACCUCUGCAAUUGUGACGAGAGCCUGCUUGGGGUAGGCUCGGUGAAGGUUCGGGGCAGAGUCACGUGCUGAUAACGUGUUGUGCAACCUCUGUACGCUGGUCGGUCACGGGGUUGCAAACCAAGAUUGUAGUCGAAGAUAGUAUAGUAAAGUAAAUCACAUAGGAAGGUAGAGAGUAACAUGAACUUUUAUUAAUCUUUCUCAACUCAACAGUAUGUACAAAGGUAUACCUCCUCUCCUUUAUAUAACCUUAGGUGGAUAAGGGUCCAACUAACGUUUACUUUGGAAAACAGUCCAUGAGAAGGAGGGGGGCGUACGAUGCGGUAGCCCCUAUAGCCCCCAACUCCCCUUCGAUCUCGGUUUACAAGAGUUUAUCGUACGCCCCUCUCCUUCUCUCGUGGACAAUUUCUCCCAUGUGGACGUUAAUUGGAUCCUUAUCCACCUACCUACUGGACUAUAUAAAGGAGAGAAAGCAUACCUUUGUACGUAGCGUUGAGUUGAAAAAGAUUAAUAAAAUCUCAUGUUCCUUUCUACCUCCUCGUGUAAUUUACUUUCUCGUACUCGCCUUCAAUUACAAUUUUGGUGUGCAACCCUGGGACCGAUCAGCCUGCAGAUAUUGCGGAACAAGUUAUCAGCACAUGACUUUGCCCCUAAGCCUUCACUGAGCCUACUCCAAGCAAGCUCUCGUCACAUUAACGGUGGUAUUGUAUCUCAAAUUUUAUUGCAAAAAUGGAUUCGUUGUCGCACCUAGUUUUCGUUUUUGCGAUUAGUUUACUUUUUCAGAUCAUUUCUAUUUUAUGGUUGGAGUUUCAUCGCGUGUGACUUGCUAAGUCGCCGACACAGUUGCCAAUUGAUCCUGCCACACAAAGGACUUGUUGACCAACCUAUGGGAAAACGGUGCCAUGCCGUCGAGCGUUGCACCACCGGCCACCACAGCCAUGAAUGGCAGCCACCAGCUAGCCGUGUCGCCCAUAAUUUUUCCCAUCGCGAGCACCGCCAGCUUCCAGGCACGAGCGCCGCCGCUGCUAAUGUCAAGCGCCUGCGCUGCCAACGCCACCUCGUGCGUGAGCUCUGCACUGGUGCGCACCGGCAUAGCGCGAGAGUCUAAGUUAUCCCUGACGCUGUCGAAUGUUCGCACCAUUUGGGCAGCCAGCAUGAUCCUAGCAUCUUCUGAUGAAAUCUAUAAAAUAAACAAAAUACUUCCUCUGAUACUAAAUUCUUGAUUCAAAUUUGAUCAAAUAUGAAUGUAUCUAUUUUUAGAAAACGUCUAAAUGCAUAUAAUAUUUUGAUAUUUAGGAUCGGAGAGAGUACAUUAGUUUUAGGUACGAUGAUUAGACGCAUAGUUGCCACGUUCUGCAUCACUGACUCACUGUUAAGAUGGAGACGGUCCAGACGGAGAUAGAGAUGUAGCCUACUCCCCCGCAAAAAAAGAGAUGUAGCCCAAUCCUUAUUUCUUGGGGCACGGAAAUGUAGCUAAGUCUAUAUGUACGGAAGGAAUAUUGAGUUUUCUCACUCUGAACAUAGAGAAACACAUGUGACAUGUGACAUGUCAGAGCGUUUCUUCGGAUUUAAUUUCGUGAGUGAUUAAAGGCCAGCGUCCGGGUCAGUCCAUUUCCAUACUGGUACAGCCUACCAGGCUACCAACAACCAUCCUCGCUGCCAAAUACGUGAUAUUCGUAUCUUUUGGCAAUACGAUUGCAAACUUAUAGUUUACUCUUUGCAAUACGCCGCCGUAAACGCUAGUACUUUCCACAUCCAACAAAAGAUGUAUUAAGUUUGUCAAAAUUUGAAUGUACAUUAGACAUGACUUAGUGUAUAGAUGCAUUCAAAUUUAAUUAAAAUUAAGACAUCUUUUGUUGGACGGAGGAAUAUCUAAAUUCUAGCCACCUUUUAAAUUUGUAAAUAGAUAGAACAAGGUCGAUGUAAAAAGUUUAAGAUAUAGCAAGGCAUAUUGUUGGCGACGAUCAAUUUGUCGAGCAUCCUAGGCUGUUAGAUUUUUGAUUUCUUUUUUUUUAAGGUCCAGCAACAGCUGGCUUUCCAUGUAGUAGUGAGGAUUUUUUUUAUUUCUUCCAUGUAUUCGGGCCUAUGAUUAUAUGCUUUUGGUGUCGCAAAUUUCAUUGUCAUCUAAGAUUUUUUUUAGUUAUGUCAUAAGUUAGCCCCUUCCUUCGUUGGUUCUUGGGUCCGCCAUUGGAGUAUAACUAGCUUGAGAGGUGAAAGAAAUUUCGUUGGAGCUUCUUCAUUGUUUAGUUUUACAUUGUUCCUUGGAUGUUUAUUGUAUAUUUUUGGUAUCUGAGUUGGCAGCAAAGUAUAAAAGUUGUCUCUCAACUCGAAGUUGUAUACAUUUGACCUCUGAAUUAGCGAAACUGAAUACAGUCUUCUUGCACAUUUUACCUACCUAAUACUCCAUAUAAAUUUGUAUCUUAUUAGGAAAAUAGACUUUCAUAUUCGAAAAAAUAAUAAAAUAGAAAGUGUCUGUUUAUCAUUCGACUUAGAAACCAUAACCAUCCAAUAAAAUCAUCUUAUCUUUUGAACUCUCUCCGUUUUUUAAUUUUUGUCGUUAUUUUAGUUCAAUUUGCACCAAAACAACGACAAGAGUUUAGAAAUAGAGGAAGUACUUGCGUAAAUCUUGCACUUCGCGAUUCGAUCGAACAAUGUUAGCAUCUACUUAUAGAAAUAGUUAUUUCUGGAUCACAUUAGAAAUAGCGAAACCAAAAUAGUUACCUAGGACCGCCGGUAACACACUUAAAAUAAUUUUAGAACCCAGAUCCGCAUUUUCAUACUAUUAAAACUUAGAUGACACCAUACAAUACUUUUAGAACCCGCAGUCCAUUUAACUCUACGGGAUACUCCCUCUGUCCCUCAAAUGUAUAUUGUUUCCUUUGACUAAAGUAGUUUCUUAAUAUAUAUAUUUUGUGAAAUAAAUUUUUUAUAUCAUUUCAUUCAUAUUCAAAAUUAUAUAUUUGUGAUUUGUACUACUUCCGUCCCGUAUUAAGUGACAAAAAUAUUACAUGUAUAUAUAUGAUUUUUGGGUAUAUACAUUCGUAUUGAGACAAUAUCGCGUCACUUGAUAUUGAAGUGAUGGAAUAUCACGUAAGCCUAACCGAGGGAUUAUUAGAUUUCUCAACAGCAGAUGUUGCUCGCGCCGCCGUCCGCCAUGUUUCAGGCCGCCGCCGCCCUCCUGGCAAGCCGCGGCCGCGCCCGUUCUCGCCCUCGCCGCGCGCCGUCGCGCCACCCUCGCCCUCGCCGUGCGCCGCGGCCGCCUCCUCGACGCGCGUCGCCGCCGUGCAGCUUCUCCCAGCCCCCGCUGCCGCGCCCUCCUCGCUGCGUGCCGCUGCCGCCCUCCUCGCAGGACCGCCGCUCUCCUCGCUGUGUGCCGCCGCGCCCACCUCCGCGGGGCCAUCCUCUUCCAACCCGCGCCGUCGAUACCCUCCUCUGCAAGGCCGCUCUCCUCUCAGUCCGCUCCGUUGGCUUUUCUUAGAUUACGUUUUUGUCCUACCGUAUGGAUACUCUGUACCUAGUGUUGGAGUAUUUUGGAGUAUCAGUUCAUCUGAGCCUUUGGAUUAAGAAAACAGACGGUUCAUAUUAAUUCUGGGCUACUGCAAAGGAGCUCACUUUGGUACAUUGGUACAUUAUGUCGACCCUAGUCUGCAUUCAGUUUAAAAAUAAUACGGAGUAAUAGUUGCAGCCAGAAUCAUUAUAAUUUCUUUCCUCAAUGUGCUUGUCAAUACAAAUUUUUGUUUCUGAACUAGUAGAAUAUAUGGUUUCGUGACAUUAACAUAUAUCCCGGGUUUGCAGCUGGGCAUGGGUAGUGCAGUGGAGACUCUCUGCGGACAAGCCUACGGCGCACAAAAGUAUGACAUGCUCGGAGUUUACUUGCAACGCUCUGCCGUGCUCCUCAGCUGCACCGGCAUACCGCUUGCGGUGAUCUACGCCUUCUCUGAACCAAUCCUCCUGUUCCUGGGACAGUCACUAGAGAUUGCCCGUGCCGCGUCGAUUUUUGUAUAUGGCCUGAUACCCCAGAUCUUUGCCUACGCUAUCAACUUCCCAAUCCAGAAGUUCAUGCAGGCGCAGAGCAUUGUCCUGCCGAGCUCUUACAUUUCAACGGCAACGCUCGCGCUGCACGUGUUGCUGAGCUGGGUUGUCGUCUACAAGGUUGGGCUGGGGCUGCUUGGUGCCUCGCUGGUGCUGAGCCUGAGCUGGUGGAUCAUCGUCGCGGCGCAGUUUGCUUACAUUGUCAUGAGCCCGACUUGCCGGCAUACAUGGACGGGGUUCAGUUCGCAGGCGUUCUCUGGGCUGUGGGAUUUCCUUAAGCUCUCAGCAGCAUCUGCAGUGAUGCUGUGCCUUGAGGCAUGGUAUUUUCAAAUCCUUGUCCUCAUUGCCGGCUUGCUCCCCAACCCUGAGCUUUCCUUGGAUGCUCUCUCUAUAUGGUAAGUACCAUUAGUAUUUUAAGUCUUACUGCUGUAACUAGUAACCAUAGUUGGUAGUGGUACUGACUUACUCUGUGGCUAGUGCAGUAUGACAAUUUCUGGCUGGGUGUUCAUGAUUUCAGUAGGAUUCAAUGCCGCUGCAAGGUUAGCAGUCAACGAUUUAAACUGAAUGACUUGAGAACACUGGCAUCUUAGCAAGGGAUUAAUAACUGAUUACUGUUAACUAUUGAAUAUUUUCAGCGUAAGAGUGAGCAAUGAGAUUGGUGCGGGCAACCCGAAGUCAGCAUUUUUCUCAGUUUGGGUCGUGACCGCGCUCUGUGCAAUUAUUUCUGUAAUCUUUGCAAUUGCGAUCCUCUGCCUUCGCAACUACAUCAGCUACUUGUUCACGGAGGGGGAAAUAGUCUCAAAUGCUGUGGCGGAUCUCUGCCCGCUGCUUGCCACCACGCUCAUUCUCAAUGGCAUUCAACCUGUUCUGACAGGUAAAAUUUCAGAAAGUUGCAUCUGACCAUGUGUUAUCUUCAUUCUUUAGUAAUUCAUUAGUACAACGUCCAAAACUAUGUUUCUAUAAUGUGUUCAUGUCUACUUUAUUUUUCAAACAGCUGGGGCAGGAUGUAUCCCCAUCCCUGUUUCUGUUUUCUCUCCAAUUCCCCAGCUAGGAUGAUUUCAUUGAGUGUUAGACACUGGAGAUGAUUAGGAUUCAUUUCUCAAAUAUGUAAUUUCUAUCUUGUAAACCAAUCGCUUCGAGAAAAAAAACUUUUAAACCCAAUAUAUAUUUUCAUUGAAGUUGUUGAAUCUGUAGACGUACCAAGUGGUAAGAUUACAUUUAAAUCGAAAGAAGUCACUAUUGACAAAUGAUAAACACUUAUAUUAGAAAACGACUUUCAAUUUUUACAUAUUCAUAUUAGUAUAAUGCACUCUAUGUAAUACGCUGUGAAUAUACAGCAACUACUGGGGGCAACAGUAGCGUAAUAGGUUGUCAUGAACCAAGUUCACGACAUGGAGGAUAAUGGCUUUAGGGCCUGUACGAGGUGACCCUGGACCCAAGAGACGUGACGGCGCCAUGAAAGGCAGCCGCACCUCAAGGGCAGGGAGGAGGUAUAACUAGAUUGGUUUGUUCUUACUUGCCUCAUAACGAUUAUAGGGGGGCCUUUAUAUAGGGAAGACUCGACUUGACAUCCAAGAAACUAAUCUCUACUUUCGUAACAAACCAUAUCUCUACUUUCCUAAAAAACCAUAUCUCAAUAUUCCUAUCUCGUGCCUAACUAAUUUAGGAGAUGCUAAUGGGAUAUUGUCCCUUAUUUGGAUACCUAGGGCUGUGCCCCUAUAGAGAUGUAUGCCCAUGACAUAGGUCUACACUUUAUUCAGGUGCACAGUCCUUGUCGUUUAUGGUCGAAUUUUGCCAACUAAACUGGAAGCCAACCGCGGGCAAACAAUUAUGUCUAUCAUCUUCUAAGAAGCAUAUGUUCACUGUUGUGAUAAUAUGGUGAUAGUCUGCUUUACUAACAUGCAUAUAAAUAUCAGGUGUUGCCGUUGGAUGUGGAUGGCAACAGUUUGUUGCUUAUGUGAACAUUGGCUGUUACUACGUCGUAGGUGUUCCCCUUGGUCUCGUUCUCGGUUUUGUCUUCAAGCUUGGCGUAAAGGUGAUGGAUUUAAUUGGCAGCAAAUAGUUCAUAUAUCCUCUAUCAUGCAAAAUUCUUCAGGUGUUAUCUAACAUCUAUUUAUUUAUGCAAUGGUAUAUCUUCGACAGGGCAUUUGGGGUGGCAUGAUCGGAGGGACGGUAAUGCAGACUGUGAUUCUGCUAUGGGUCACCAUCAGAACUGAUUGGAACAAAGAGGUAUUUCAUUUUUCAUUUCCAUUUUGUGCCAAGGCAGCAAUUAUGAAAAAUGCAGUUCACUAACUGAUGAGCCAAGAUUCAAGCUCCCUUUCUCUGUCACCAUAGCUGUUGCCAUAAAUGUAGUUAAUAGAUAUCUUGUUUACUCCAAGUCUUCAAUCAUGUGAGCUGAUAAGAUUUGGAACAAAAUUUUACAUUAGUGUCAAACUGUGAAUAGACAUAGGGAAAAAGAUUGAUUGAUAUGUAAUGGCAUUUUUUUUCUGUUUGUUUCUUUUCGGAUAACCUUCAGGUGGAAGAAGCACAGAAAAGAUUGAGCAAGUGGGAGGGUUCAAAGGAGCCCCUUCUUGCAGGUGACAGGAACGACAACUAAUCAAAUGGACCAAUCUACAUGUAUUUCCAAUUCAACGAUCCAGAGUCACUAGCGCUGGCAUUGAGAUGCUCCAGCAGUGGUGCACUGGGAGGGAACGAUUUUAGGUGUCUUGACUCUUAAAUUCUUGAGUUGAUAAACUAUCAUGAAGUGCUUACCAGACUUCAGACCUGCUUUACAUCAAUAACAUCAGGUGAUGAGCAUUUUUUUUCCGUGAAAACAAAAAUGUUCAUGGGCAAGAGUGUACUCAAACAGUGCGAAUUUUGCAAAUGAAUGAUUAGAAGAUUUAGAACCAGAAGUUCAGAACUGAGCUUCUAUCAUUCUUGAUUUAACAAGGUAUCAAGAUAAGUUCUGUUAAUUCUUUUUUGUGAAAUAUUCUUGAAGCUAGGUUUGUAGUGGAAAUUUAGCAUUCGGCUUAGCUGAAAAGAUCUUGGCAAAAACAGGAUCGAUGGUCAUCUGAGCAGUGCAAAGGUGCAAUCAAACUGAUUUCGGCCGUCCUAUUGGAAGUGGGGUCUUGAUCAAACAAGACGCUCCCAUCUCCAGUCUUUCAUGAAAAAAGAACACGCAUGAUCGAGGCCGAUGUUUUGCGGAGGAACUGCCUGUUCGCUAUGUACCUCUGCAUACAUUGCUCAACUGCCAGCCCAUAGAAGACUUAGAGCAUCCUCAGCAGCUUGUGCAUAUGGACCACAUAUGCUAUUUAGACAAUUUGAGGCCAAAAAGUCUCUCCACCAGCUUGUGUAAAAGUAGACGAUGUCUAAAUUCACCUCCACGACGUCCAGAUUUGGACUACCAAGUCACGACGUCCAGAUUUUGACUACCAAGCCACCGUCGGAGGAGGGGAGGGGUGCCACCAUGGGUGAAAGUGAGGGGCGCCGCCACGGGGGAGUCCAACGAGUUUAUAGAUUCGCGCAGCCGGAGGGUUGGGAGAGGCAGGGCCGCCUCCGCCUGGGAGAUGGAGGAGGGCAGGGAGUGCCGCAGCGGGCGAGAUGGAGGAGCGGAGGUGCGCCGUUGCCGGGGGAGGGGAAGGGUAGAGGAGGGGCAGGGGCGCCGCCGAUGGAGAAAGGGAGGGGCGCUGCUGCUGCUCGUGGCUGGUGAGGAAGAAGGGACUGCUGCUGCUGCUGCUGCUUGAGGGAGAUGGAGGUUGGGCCGCCGCCGACGGGAAGAUGGAGGAUGGGCCGUUGCUGAUGCUGCUCCCGGGAGACUGGGAGGAAGGAGGAUAAUUAGUAGAUACUGUUAUAAUAUAGGAGAGAGAAUAUACACAACCUAGAUAUAGACAAGUUGAUGAAAAAUUAGAAAAUGUUGAUAGAGACUUUUUUUACACCAUUGUCUAUAUUUUUAUAUAGACAAGCAAAUCUAUAAACUCUAUAAAGUUGAAGCCCAUUAAGUGCAGUUAAUUUAGCAAGCUCAACAUGCAGUCUAUCCACGUCAUCAAAAUUGUUCAGUACGUUCGAUGAAUAUUUGUACGGCUCAGAUUCACUGGAUGUGGUUCUUUGGGCUGAGAGAAGGAUUGAUCAGGUGGCUUUCUAACUUCCCUUUUUCUUUCUGCCUUGCGAACCCCCACCACGAACUCCUUCCCACCCGGCUCCCCUUCUCCCUACCACCGAAUCAGGCGGCCUCCUCUUCUCUCCUCCAGCCUCUCCACCUGACCAGCUCCGUCGGCUCACUCUCCGGCAACCACCGCCAGCGCCACCUCCAUGUCAGGAGAGCACGGGAUGGGAAGGAGCCCGGCCGCUGCCCUCCUCCCUCCCCUGAGCUAGACGCUGUUGGAUUCGGGCUCCCCUGGCAAGGGCACCGCUGGAUCUCGAGUCCGCCGACCCCGACUUCGCCGGAUCCAUGACAGCCCCGCCGCCGCCCAAGCUCCCCGACCCCGCCUUCGCCGGAUCCGGGCCAGCCCCUCCGCCGGGUAAGGUAUCUCUCCCUCUCUCCCUCUCUUACCCUAGCAGAUGAGCGAGGCCGCCGCCGCCACCGAGGAGACGAAGAGGGCGCCGCCGCUGGCGGGGUCGUGGGAGCUGUCGGCGGAGUGCCGUGUAUCGGGUCAGGCUGUCGUUGGUUCGAGGCCCUUUUGUUGUAUGCAGAUUCAUGAUUUGUAAUUCAUCGAUUUGUGAUUAGUCAUGGAUUUGUGGUUUGUGGAUUCGAUUUGUGAUUUGUUGAUUCCCCAUCCGGACCUAUAGCCUAUUUCUUUUUCUAAUGACGAAAAUGAUAUCAGUGGCGGUGCCAAGCAACAGCCAUUGCUGGGUACCCCUCCAGUGGCCAGUAACACCACCGCCACUGUUGUUGCUGCACCAGUGGCGAGAGAUUGGUGGCGAGUCGUAUGCUCGCCCUAACCAAGUUUUCAAACUGCCACUUCUAUUUUGAUUGUUUAAAUAUCUUUUUCCAUAUCUAUAUUCUAGCUGCAAAUUGUGUGUUUGACGAAUGCAUGUAUACUAUAUUGAGAGAAGAAGAUUACGAUUUGUUGUGUUUUAUGUACGUCUCCUCCAUGUAGGCAUUUGGGAGAAGAAGAUUUCUACAUCCCAUAAUUGACUCCAUCCAGCAAGGCUACUCUGAGUCCUGACGGUAUUUCUUCAGCAUGCCUCCUUUUUCAGUUGUUCUACAUGUUGCAUUGCCCAUUGUUGUGGUUUGCAUUUGUUUGCCAGCAUUAAGCACCUAUCGUACCCACACAGAAUUAUGUUUCCCUCUGUAGCCUAGACCCUUCUUCCAAUAGUGUCUUCUCUUUAAUUUACUCUUCAGCAUGCCUCCUUUUUCAGUUGCUCUACAUGUUGCAUUGCCAUUGUUGUGGUUUGCAUUUGUUUGCGGGCAUUAAGCACCUAUUGUACCCACACAGAAUUAUGUUUCCCUCUGUAGCCUAGACCCUUCUUCCAAUAGUGCCUUCUCUUUAAUUUACAAGUUCCGUCAGCAUUUGUUGCAACAUAGCUCCAUUUGUAAUCACUCUACACAACUAACAAUUGUCAUAUUUUACUCAAUCAGGUACAAGCUUCCUCUAAUAAUUACAAAUGAUACAAAAAGCAUGGAGACAAUUACUUCCACUUUUGUAGCUGAAGAUUUGGUUGAACAGACUGCUCUAGAAGCUUCUCAAAACAUGAAUAUAGAUCCCUCAGACCAUGCAAAUGCUCUGCAAAAAGCCAUUGGCAAACAGUACUUCACCAUAGGAAUGAAUCCGGAGUAUUUUUCAAUAUCUCUAUCAAUUAUGUGCUGAAAAAGAGUUAUCCAAUUGACAAUCUAAACUUCGAUACAUUGUUACCAGCCCCACGGGUCACACCACUACUCUUCUCUAAUACUAUCACAUCACUUGAUUAUUUCUUCUAAUAAACUUGCAUUUUCAGGACAACACAAAGAUAUAUUAUCGCUCCAAGCUGCCACCGACAUGAAUUCAUCUCAAAGGUUUGUCAUCUAAUUUUUUUUCUCCUUUCAAGGUUCUAAGGUCUUACUUUUCCAACUGAAAUUAUUUUGGACAUGCAGCAAUUCCAGUUCAAGUGUUACUAUACCACCAUCUACACAAGAGAAAAUUUAAGACAAACAAUCUGAAAGUCUUUCCCGAACCAAAAUUAGUACUUUUAGUUUCUAAUUUUUAGCAUGAUAUCAGCUCAAGUACCAAAAGACAGGUUGAUUUUGAGCAGAACAAUGGUGAAGAUAUUCAAAGGUAUUCCAUCUGUAUUUUGUUUCCUAUUGCACCAUAAUUUUCCAUAUGAUAUAUAUUGCCAUAUCAUCCGCAGCAAUGCCAAACCUGAUGCUAAUUACGACAAUGUGAACAAGCGCCACAAACAAAGGUAUGUCCUACUUCCACAAUAAGUAAACUAAAUACGUACCAUUUUAAAAGUUUCUAACUUCUCAUAUAGUCUUCAAGAAGAUCCCACCUCUUGACCGAUCUUCUCAGCAACACGAGAUGAUCACUUUCAUCAAAUAUAAAUAAAUACAAGUAAACCUCUAAAUGUCAUCACAUCUGCAAUCUUCUUAUUUUUGGCAACUAUACUCCUCUCUGCCACAUUACUAAAAAGGGAGAGCUGGAAUACUUUUCACAUUGCCAAUUUGAUCAUAUACUUCCAAAUAAACUUUCUGUUUCAAAUAUUCGAACAAGUUUAUGUUUAAAAUACUAACAUGGUUGUUCAUGGUGUAGAUGCAAGUCAAUGUGCAGAGCUGUUGAUGAAUAAGGAUCACACAUGCCCUCCUGAAUGGAUAUGCGCACCUACUGUGCUUCAUGCACAUCCCCCACAUCAGUCAUGAUAAUUACUUCGUUGUGUUUGCGAACUUUUCAAUGAUUUGUGGUGAAGUUGAAUGUAUUUUGCUGCAACAAUAUUACCUGCAACGUAUUAUGUACAUCCUUUUGUUUGCUUUGAGUUACAUGAUGUACUCCUUGCCAAAUAGUUCAGUCUACAUAUUUUUUUGCAGUCGUACAACAAAUUAUUGGUGCAAAAGAUAACUUAUUACAAUAUAAAUAUAUUUUUAUGUUUUCUCUUCAAUCCUUGCGAGUCCUCAUACUCUUAUUUAUCCCUACAAAAUCAUUACGAAUCAAAUGUAAUAUAAUUUUACAUAAUGUUUAUUGAGAUAUUUUGUUUACCGAUUCUAUUUUUCUCUGCAUGACCCGCAGCAACGCGCGGGGAAUCCACUAGUAUACACAAGCUGCUGAGGAUGCUCUUAGUUACCGGGUCCAUUUUCUUUUGCUAUGCAAUCAUUCAAGGAGCAGUGCAAACAUGAAAUAAAACUAAAAUACUGAAUUGAGCUGUCCGAUGCGCAGAAUGCAGUCCCAGUGAUAUGAAAACGAAACACACUUUUUUAAGGGGAGGUCCUACCGUCACAUAACUUCACUUUUGUGAUCCCUGGGCGAACAAGCUUCGUGCUCUCUUCUCCUCCUCUCCCCUUCGCUCCAUCCCUAUCACUACAAGAAAUAUGCUGAUUUUUGACCCUCUAUUUUCGUCACUAAAUCGUCUCUAUUUUCAAUUUAUGACGUUCCUAUGACGAAAAACUAAUCGUCAAAAAGCAAUCGUCGCUAAUGAUCUUUAAUGACCUUUUUGGUGAAAUGGUCAUAAAAGGUUAUGACCAAAUUGGAUCGUCAUAAAUUUAUGACGAAAUAUUUUGGUCACUAUCAGUCCGGCCAGGACACGUAGGAUCUGAUGUGGCAGUCUGAAGUGGCAAGCUUAGUGACGAUAUCAAAUGGUCAUAAUACGAAAUGAGCCCGGUCCAAACAUGCAUAUAAAUGGGCCCAGCCCAACACUUCUUUUGGGCCACGGCCUUUUUACAGUCCAGUUAUUAUAUUUUUCAAACCAUUUCUUUUUUUUUGUUUUUAGGCCUUUUAUAUUUAGUUCAUUUCAAUUUCGAUCCAAAUUAAGUUGGGCCUUGGCCUUUUUACGGACAAGAUAUGAUUUGGUGCGGUCCAUUUAUUUAGGCUAGUGGCCUUUUUCAUGUAUUAUUUUUACAGUCCAUUUAUUUACCCCGGUGAGAGCUGCUGGACCUCUUUGGGGCCAAAUUUAAGCCCAGUUAGAUACAUUUCAAAAAAUACAAAUAUCCCUGUUAAUUCAUCCCAUAUUAAAACGGUCAACCAAUGCAACACAAUACAAAGACAAUAAAAAACAUGACCAUGCGCAUUUCUAAGCCAAUUUUCUGAAUCAUAAGAUAUACAAUUCGAAUUGCCUUAUACAGUACUAAUCAUGGAUCGGACGGAGUAUAAAUUAACAUCUCUUUUACAGCACGACUUGCAAGGAUAGCUGCCUGACGCUGCAACAAAGAAUUUUUUUUUGGCGCCUUGGCAUGUACAUUCCUUCUACAGCAUCGCAUUAGAGAAGCAUCAGUUGUGCGUACGUAAAAUAACAAAUUUAUGAAGCAAGAAGCUCAAGUGGGCAUACAUCUAAAAUAAAUUUCAUGACAGUACAAGCUGAUAGUAUACAACAUGAAAUAAUUAUUAAGCAGAGUCACUAAUAUUGCGGCCUUGCCGUGAUAUGUAUUCAAAUGACACAAUUACAACAGUAUAUGCCAAUGUUAUUUUGAUUAUCUGGUAACUAGAGCAUCAAUUUUCAAGGAUUUAUCAGGUUUAUUUAGCUUCCGUCAGACGUCACUUAGAACAGAGAUAAAUUUCCACAUUCCACAGCCUCUACAGCAAAUAUGUCUUGUAGAGACAUUUUCAUUGAGGCAAUGUACUCUUUGUCUCUACCUAGAGACAAUUUUGAGACAGAGUUUCAUGUAGAGGCAUUCUAUGAGGCGUUAUGGACAAUGUCUUAAAUAUAGAGACACUAGUUGAGACAUUGUGGUGUAGAGAUAUUUUUUGAGGCAUUUAAUAGAUUGUCACAAAACUCAUGUAGAGCAUGGUUUUGAGAUACUUGAGGAAAUGACCUUACGGUAUGAUUAGAGACACGAUUUGAGACACAUAUUAUGUUGUGUAGAGACAUUCUUAGAAGGUUUGAGACAUGUAGCAGACUACUCAUAAUAAUUUCAUUAGAAGUAUAAUCAAGAAUUGGUAUCAGGUUGAGAUGGUUAGUUGAGUGUGUAGUUUUCCUUAAGGUCUUGAGUUUAAGGAUUGGUUUCAACAUGAUUUUUUCAAUGCAUAUUUUCUAGCACAUCACUAUAGAGACACAAUUUAAUGUCUUUAUAAAAUGUCACGUUGAAUGUAGAGACAAUAUAGUGUUUCUAUGAAAUGUCUAAAAAGUAUAAAGACAAUGCAAUGUCUUUAUGAAAUAUCGUAUUGAACGUAGAGACGGUAUGGUGUCUUUAUGCAAUGUCUAAAACAAUAGAGACGUUUUCUUAGUGUCUCAUCACACAUAGCGACAUUGUCCGUAGUGACAGUUUUGUGACAUUGUACCAAGUGUGUCUAAAGUUAUGUAGAGACAAUUAUAGUGUCUCUACAAAUCAAAAAUAGUCUCUACGGGCUAUUUCUUUUGUAGUGAGCUCAUGACUUAUCAACACAACAUACCAUGAGUCGAAAGUAAAAUUAAUCCAGAAUAAAUGACAUCAGUGCGAAAAAGAGAUAUUCUCUAUACAAGAUGUAGUUAAUCAGUUUCAGUUAAACAUUUGAUAGACAACAAAAUUUCACUCUUAUGAAAGUAUUCCUCAGUUUUCUUGCUGGUAUAAUUCAGAGAAAAGUGUAUGCAUGGUACGGAAUGGUAAUAAUAAUAAGAGGCUACCAUUAAUAAAAAUCAUAAGGUGAUCAUAGUAAAGCACUACUAGAAAUAUACUGAUUUGUAACAUCCUAGCAAGUGAGUAAUAAACGAUCACAGUAAAGCACUAGUAGAAAUAUGCUGAUUUGUACAGUACUUUCUGAAACAAAAACAGUCAAGUGUCUGUGCAUUGCUAUGAAAAAACAAGUAGAAACAUGAAUUACUAUUGAUCAGAUGGUCCAUUUUGCGGUGGGCGCGAGGUCAUGUUGUUUCGACAGUAGACGUAAUAUCUUUGACAUCACUUACCUGUGAACCACCAGUUGCUGAAUGUGCAUGCAUGUCAUAUGUAGAAAUACCCCUCCAUGCUCUCCAAAUCGCGAGAUUCUUCAGUUCAGAACGAGAAUAUGGCUUAAUACAUUCACUCACUUGGUCAACCAUCAAACUGAACAAUACUUGUUUAUCUGUACAACGGAACAAGCCUACAGGCUGCUCUUACUGCAGAAUCUUCAACCAUCAAACAUGCAAGCAGCAGUAGUACUCCUGCCGAACAUGACCAAAAUCAGAAGUUUCAAAUGAUGGUCAGCAUGCAAAUCAAAAGAGCUAAAAAGAUCACACAGCGUAGCAGCUAUGAAUGAUAGCUUUUAAUGUACACAUAGACAAAGAUCAAGGAAUUUGUUGCAACAAAAAGGAUUCCAGAUUGAUGUUUCAUGCCAUAUUAUCGUCAAGCAAUCCAUGGUAAUAUACAGAAAAGGAGAAGGUUUGGUGUAUUCAUGCUUUGGUCAUGUAGAAGUCUGAACAGUUCAAACACAACAUGAUAGGUAAUAUUAAUAGCGAAUAGUAUUUCAACCUCCCGUGAUACACCAGUACGUCAUAAUCAUCUAGCAAAACAGAGAGGCUAGCAUUGUUCUAGGACACUGCAUCCAUCUCUAGAGCAAAAUUUCAGUCCCAUUUUACUUUACAAAAGCUAGAACUACAAAGCACGAACAACAAUAAUGGAAUAUAAAGGCUGCUAAAACAGAUAAUUAUACCACCCAAUUUUAUUUAUAGAGCAUAUGUGCAAGAUAUUAGUGCUGGGCGCAGACUAUGUUUAGCGCAUAGACAUAUACCUGAUUGGGAUGAAGUGGAAGAAGAUGAGGAUGGCCAUGCUACUUCACAAGGAAACCCCUUUACGGCCAUCCGAAAAAUUGCGAAAUAUGUUUUCACAUGGAAAUAGCCGAACAUUCUCAGAGACACAACUCACCAUGUCAAAAGGAACCCAUGGACUAGAUUUCAGGCCAAAAUGAUGAUUUUUCAUGCCGGUUUGGCCAAAACAUGAUGCUCAGAGUUGAACUCCAUUGAACAUCUUGGCAGGACAUGUCAUUUUUGUGAAGAAAGCGUUUUCAACUUUCUCCAAAUGAUCUGAAUUUCUUGUGGUAGCAUUCUACACCCCAUAUAUUCCUCCCAUCGAAAUAAAGAUCGGUCCAGAGAGGAUAUGGAUCGAUCCCUUCGCAGUCCCAAUACAAAAGGUGCUGCGGCAGUUUGAUUUUUUUAGUCGAACGCACCCUGAAACCGAGGAUCCUUUUCUUAUAGUAACUGAUUUCUUUUCCUGAAAGAUUAUAAUACCUGACAUAUGGUCCCACAUCCUAGAGUUAAAUUUACAAAUUGUAAAUGCGCCCCACAAAAAGUAACAUUUUUUUUAUUAGAUUUGAGCCUUCAAUAAAAAGUAUUUUAAAUAAAAAAAAACACUCGGCCUGCCGCCAGCUGCAGCACGAGCCAGCCCACAGCCCAACUUGGCCGGCUGCCAGCAGCAACCUCGCCCAGCCCAGCUACCAGCAGCCUCCUGUAAAAAAAAAUUGGAAGCUACCAACAACAGCCUAGCCCACCUUUUUUUUUUUUUGCGGGUGAGCCCACCUUGUUAUUUUAGAGCAGCCUAGCCCACCUCGACUAGCAGCCCCGUAUGCUGCUCAGCCCAGCCCACCUACGAAGCUACCGCAGCCCAGCUGAGUUUCUGUUUAUCUUCUUCAAUCACGCUGGGAAGAAAAAAAAUUCACGCUAGCAGUGGACACACCUUGAAUCGUUCUGUGGUGGUUACGUAGACACGUAGUAGGCGUUUGCUUAUAUUUAAGAUCGGUUGGUCCCACUUGUCAGUUGCGGCCCCCACAGGUUAAAUGUGGCCCGCAUGUCAGUCGAUGGUCCCACUUGUCAGCCGCGGCCCAUAGGGUAAUUGAAGCCCGCGUGUCAGUCUGUGGUCCGGACGUGGCCUCAAGUGACAGAUUUAGGACUCGGUCAACCGUUGGUUCAGGAUCAAUGGGUCCCACAUGUCAUUGUAAUGUUACUCUUGACACGUAAGCAUUGAAUUGACACGUAGACACGACAUGUGAGCAAAAUUGUCGUGGUGGCUGUCCAGCCAUGCAAAUGCUUCAGAUUUUAUAGAGUUAUUAUGACGAUCUAAAAUUGGUCAUAAUCAAUUAGGACUAACAAUUGCUAUUUUGUGACCAUUUCGUGUGAUAGAACUAUGACCUUCUUGAUACAAAUGGUCAUAAAAACUUAGGACUUGGACCCUCAUGAAUACUCUAUGACCAUUUAUGACCAUUUCUCUCGUGGUCAUUAAAAAAAAUCACAAAUCAACACAUUUCUUGUAGCGUAUCCCCCUUUGUAUUCCACAAGCCAAAUGAUCCCAUCUUCAAAGUGCCUGCACUACACUAGCGCCAAGGUAGCCGGGGUUGGGCCGUUUGUCUUGGACCAUGGUCCAUGGGCGCAGCAAACAAAAAGAAACGAGAAUAUUGAAGGCGAAGAAGGGGAAGCAUCAAACAAGAGCAAGGUAAAGAAAGAGGGUUUAAAUCAAGACCUACUAUGUGCUUUCCGAACCAAGAGUUAACUACUGGAGCUAAUAAAAAACAUCAUGUCCCUUAUAUUGUAAUUGAUGCUUAAAUUACCAUCUCGACGCCAAUGGUGAUGGCGCCGCAUCUUACACAUUGAAAUGGUUGCGGCGCCGAGGUCCUGCAGCGGCCUUGUUAGUGUCUCCGUUGACGGCUUCUUAUAUCAGAGCCAUCAUUGUGGAAAUAAAUUGCUUAGCCUGUUUCCAUCAGAUCGAGCUUUUGGUUGAAAUGACUAGCGCGUACAAUUCAGUAUCAUGACCAGCAGAUACAUUCUUGGUACGGCUGACGCCUACUCCGAGUGAUAUGUGAUGUAGUAUAGGUUUAAACGUGAUCACUUGUUUAAUCAAGGGUUAAGCAAGGUCAUGUAGGGAGAAAAAAUCACACUACUUCUUCUAGAUAUAUCCUUCAAAUAUCUGGUCAAUUAUUGACAAAGACAGAGCAAAAGAGGUAGCAAUAUACUUCUUCGGACUUCGGAGUAACUUCCUCCGUGUGGCACAAGCUAGCAGGCACAAAACGUCGAAAAGCUAGCAUGGUGGCACGUAAGAAAUGACGUAAACCCAUCAAUAGCAGCCGAAACACAAUAAUUUGAGGUACUCCUGCUAAAGUCGUCCACCUACCUACCUAUGAACUUGGAAGAUACGACCGGCGUCGCCAAAUACGUCUAUGAACUAAUCGGGCGGUUGCGUCAGCUCUGACCACACCGUUUAUAUCUUCUAGUCGUUUGCAGGAAAAGAUGCGUUUGCGAUUUGUGUCGCUGUUGUUUUGAUAUAGAACGUGCAUGGCACCUAUGAGAACAGAGGAUAAUGUAAUCAAGCAAAUGUUGACUGUUGAGUCUGUCGCGCGGGCGUACGUAUUAGUAGUUUUUUUAGUCACCAAGUUCCAUAUAUGAGCUAGUGAACUUGUUGUUAAUUACAGUUUCGUGCAUGUAGAGUUUGACCUCCACAUGAAUUGUAGAGCUUGACCUCGUGUUGUUAAAUUGUUCCCUCCGUCCAAUAAAAGAUGUCUCUGACUAAAUUUGAAUGCAUUUAUACACUAAGUCAUGUUUAGAUAUAUUCAAAUUGUAAUAAACUUGAGACAUCUUUUGUUGGACGGAGGAAGUAUGUCCGUCCAUGUGUGUUCAUGUAGAGGUUAAGCUCACGUAAAAUCGACGCAUGUGAAACACCUCGGGCAUUACAUUGGUUUAGACAGGUACCUCUUGUAUAAAUAACAUGGAGUAUAUAACAAUCUGAGGGCCAUAGAAAGAGAUGAGGAAUGGUCACUUAACAAAGAAAACUCCAAGUCAGGUCAACCCUGGUUUUGACCAUCCUAAACCGUCCUAAUGACGAGAUUGGCCCGGUGUUACAUGUUGAAGGACGAACUUUGCACAAAAAAUUGUUCGAAAAGGAAGUUGGCACAUACGCAAUAGUUGAUCGAUGAAAUAGCACUUACUCCCUCCGUCCCAUAUUAAGUGUCGAAAUAUGACAUGUAUCUAGACAUAUUUUAUUACCACCUCGAUCCAUAUUAAUUGUCUCAAAUUUGUCCAAAUACGGAUGUAUAUAUGCCUAAAAAUUGUUUAGAUACGUUCACAUUUAGACAAAUUUGAGUCACUCAAUAUAGGAAGGAGGGAGUACUCUUCAAUUUCUUGAUAAUUGGAAUUUUUAGCGGCUUUUUAAACAUUGAUAGUGAAGCAUUAACGGUUCAUCUAGAAUUAUAGAAUAUAUAUUGUGCAAUAAAAUGAAAACUAGAGGCUAGGGGCAAGAAAUCUUGUGAUACAAAAAUUCACGAAGACCAAGAGAAGUGGAUAAAAAAAAAAUCCAUUCCUGUAUUUCUUUUAAAUGACCUAAAUAUGAACUUUGUAAUUGACCUUUCACAAAGAAUUGUUUAAAAAUUGAAGAAUAGAGAAAAUGGCUCCCAAAAUUGAGUUCCAGAAUAAAUUUAGUAUAAAAGUAUGAACAAUUCCCUCUAUAACACUUUGAGCACCACACAGUCCAUGAUAGAGUGAUUGGUCCCUAGAAAUAAAGUAUGAGUAGGCUAUUUUAGUCUUGAUUUGUAUUAUUUAAUUAGUGGCCUAAAUAACAAGGAUAUUUUAGUUUUUUUUAGGAAAAAGUAGAUCAAUGAUCUACUGCAAAUAUAUUGAUAAAAAGAGUAAUAUGUACAAAACUGAUAAUGAAAAAUUAUUGGGUUAGUCUAUCUAAAAUUGUGAAUCCCGUUGCCAAACUAGUAAGGAUACUUUUGUUGGAGAUAUGAGCUGAAAACCUCUAUUUAAUGAAACUUGACACUUUCAAUCAUAAUCAUUCGCUAGCAAAUAAACUGAUCAUAAGAAGCUGAAACCUCUAGUCACUUAAAAGCAAUUUAUGAAAACACUCUACGUGAUUAGAGGUUUAGUUUUUUUCCUUCAUAAGUAUGUGUACAUUUCCGCACAGACAACUUUGCUAUGGUACGCCGACGCAACCGGACAAUCAUUUCCCCGGCUAUUCUAAUGUUCGCAUGACACGGUAAAAGCGACCUAGAAGCCGUACGUAUUCCUCGCAUGCCGGCAGAGUUCCAAAAGAUGAAUCUAGACGUUUCGGUAUUUUCGACAGGUUGUUGUAGCACAGGUGUUACCCGCAUGCCGCCAGAAACAACGAAACAAGCGCGCGUUCCAACCAAUUGCAGCGGCAGCGAAACCAAACCAAACUCCUGCGUUUGUUUGGUAGGAGUACCCCCAAACAAAAAAAAAACCUGCAGGAAAGACAGUGCCACACAAGCUAGCAGCCACAACUCAAUUUCUACUUUUUUCCCCCCCUGGCGGCCGUCGCAACUCGCAAGUUUUUAUAGCCCACACAGACAACGCUGAGCUGUGCGCUCCUCUGUAUCCUGCGCAGCCACAGCCCACAUCGUACAGGGGAGAAAGAAAGAGCGAGAGAGGGACGCAGAACUCGCGCGCGCCCCCAUGGCUGCGGCGGAGGGCAAGCUGGAGAGCCCUUUGCUGACAUCGCUGCAGCCGUCGGCGGGCAGCGGCGGCAGCGAUGGAGGGCACGGGGCGAGCCGGCAGCUGGAGAGCAUCCUGAGCGACGAGUCGGUGCCGUGGGGGCGGCGGAUGUGUGCGGCGACGGCGGUGGAGCUGCGGAUGCUGAUCCGGCUGGCGGCGCCCGCCGUGCUGGUCUACAUGAUCAACUACCUCAUGUCCAUGUCCACGCAGAUCUUCUCCGGCCACCUCGGCACGCUCGAGCUCGCCGCCGCCUCCCUCGGCAACACCGGAAUCCAGGUCUUCGCAUACGGACUCAUGGUACGCCAAAUCACACGCGCCCUACCUUGAAUUUUAAUCUGUCGUCAGGACUGUAGGAGUAUUUUAUUAUUAGUAUAUCUCGUGGU